UAGGGAAUCUUCCACAAUGGGCGCAAGCCUGAUGGAGCAACGCCGCGUGAGUGAAGAAGGGUUUCGGCUCGUAAAGCUCUGUUGUAAGAGAAGAACGUGUGUGAGAGUGGAAAGUUCACACAGUGACGGUAACUUACCAGAAAGGGACGGCUAACUACGUACCAG
RNAcentral lists this ribosomal RNA (165 nucleotides) under uncultured bacterium. RNAcentral describes it as "partial 16S rRNA". It matches the Rfam family "Bacterial small subunit ribosomal RNA", at positions 355 to 511 of the family's 1533-position model. The record is from RNAcentral.